This 982-nucleotide long non-coding RNA is filed under the name Phoenix dactylifera (date palm). Its description in RNAcentral is "long non-coding RNA (PDAC_LNC016610)". Lineage: Eukaryota; Viridiplantae; Streptophyta; Magnoliopsida; Arecales; Arecaceae. The record is from RNAcentral.
AUAAGUGCUAAAUAAUGCAUAAAUUAAUAUUUUAUUCAUAGCACUUAUCAUUAUUUUAAUUCAUAUAUUUUGUAAAUUUAACUAAAAAUUGUAUUACCUUCAUGAUUGCAUUUUAAUAAAUUAUCCAAGGUAAUUCAAGUUUAAUUUGAUUAUUUAUUGAUUAAGCUUAAAGUAUGCAGGUCGAAUCAAAUUUAUUUGGGAUGACCCCUGAACCUAAAUUGCAUGCACCCCAUGAAUUGGAUCUUCCCAACCAAUUAGAGUCGACCCCAAUUUUCAUUUUUUUCAACACAUGGCCACCCCAAGUUCACGUAUUUUCUCCCUGUUUUGUGUCCUAGCCAUAUCUAAGCUACUCUACCAUAACUCCAACUGCAAGUCAUCUCAGCCAUUCAUCACGUUUCACGAACUCAUCUCCCGCAUCUUUCUCAUCUUACUUAUCUUCCACGCGUCUUCAGCCAUUCCCAAUAUCCCCUGAUCCCAGCCUCAACCGAAUCGAGUUCAAUCCUCCGUCCACGGAUUUCUCCCAGCAUCCUCUCCCCUGAUCCGAGAGUCCCUUCUCUUUUCAGAUGAGAACCAGCAACCGUACUCUACAAGCUCUCCCCCUCGCAGAUUCAAAUCAACCUCCGGAUCCCCUGAGAAUAGAGUUUAGCCACAACUCCCUCACGUUCGUGAUCUAUCGACAGCCGCAUCCAACCGGAUCCCCGACUUUAUCUCUUCCGAACCAAUUCAGCCGAGAACACCACCCCCCAAAUCCAAACCUCCACGUCCCAAGAACAGAAUCGGUGGUCUGUUCCGCAGCUUCAUCUUUUCCCAGCCGUUCGACCCAUCUCUUAGAUUCUCCCAGCCGGGGAACAUCACGAGCAACUCCUCCUUCCCAAGCAUCACGGAAGUGUCAAUCCGUUCCCAGCUGAACGAUCACUCCCCUGUUCCUAACAGAACCAGGAUCUCCUUCACGUCGAAUCUCCCAACGUCUUCCCCCCUGUUU